This is a small nucleolar RNA of Hippopotamus amphibius kiboko, 211 nucleotides long. RefSeq annotates it as small nucleolar RNA U3. The transcript has a single exon. Lineage: Eukaryota; Metazoa; Chordata; Mammalia; Artiodactyla; Hippopotamidae. The record is from RefSeq and is a predicted model, not a curated record.
AAAAAUCUACUUUCAAGAAUCACGUCUGUAGUUCAUUACUAGAGAAGUUUCUCUGAGCAUGUAGAGCACCGGAAAACCGUGAAGAGGAGGUACAGCGUUCUCUCCCGAGUGUGAAACCUGCUCUUGGUGUUGCUUCUGCAACUGCCAUUUGCCAUUGGUAAUCAUCCUUCUCUUCCUUUGGGAGAGAGGCAGAGGAUGCUGCCUGAGCAGU